UGUAUGCUUUAUUUGAUGUGUUUCUUUUACUUAGAUUAUAUCUUGCUGUAUACUGUACUGUGGACAUGCACUUUUUGUAGGAAAACUCGGCGCGUCAACUGGGCAGUAAAGUUGGGCCACUGUGGAGAGCUCUUCUGAAAUGGAAGCAUCAACAAUGCCUCCAAAAACAAAGAUAUUUGUGGGCAAAUUGCCUCCAACUUGCAAGGACUUCGAAUUACGUAAAUUAUUCGAGAGGUAUGGGGAAGUCACAGAAUGCUCCAUUCUUGGGAAUUAUGCCUUUGUACACAUGAAGACGGACGAACAGGCAGCAACAGCUAUUAGGAACCUUAACAACUGGGACAUGAAUGGUUUCAAGAUCAGUGUUGAGCAAUCGACAGGAGAGAAGCGAGCUGGUGGAAUGGGUGGUAUGGGAGGUCGUGGAGGAAUGGGUGGUGGAUUCCGUGGACGGGGUGGCCCUAUGAGAGGACGAGGCAUGGGCCGUCCAGGCCCAUAUGACCGUAGACCCCCAAUGGGUGACCGCUAUGGACCACCACCCCCAGGCCCACCCCCAGCACCACCUAUGAGAAAUGGCUAUUAUGAUGAUUAUGAACGACGUGAUCGCAGACCCCUCCCUCCAGCAGGAGCUCUUGACCGUCGGCCUCCUCCUCCAAUGCCAAGAGAGCCAGCAUACAGAGACCCCUAUGACCGAUAUGAUUCUUAUGAUCGCAUGCCGCCUCCACCCAUGGGGCGUCGUACUCCCCCUCCAAUGGACCGUCGCCCUCCUCCUAUGGGAUAUGACCGCAGGGAUGAUCCAUAUGGAGAUAUGUAUGGACCAAGGCCAGAGCGUGACAUUUACGGUGGUGGCAGGGACAUGUUCCCACCUCGUGGACGAUCCCCACCUCGUCGUAGUCCUCCACGCCGGUACAACUGGGAGUUGGUUGACCAAUGAAGGCUUACCUUCCUAUAGUGAAGAAUGACCUUGAGAAGUCAGUCUGGUUCAAACAUCUUGUGCAUUUAGUUCCUGCAUCCAUCUUCAACUGGAAGAACUGCCAUGGCUGAGAAAAUUGGGAUGUGAAAUGGAUAUCUGGUAGAGGAAAGUUGCCAUCCAUUGUGGGUUGUGCUGCACCCUAUAAAAACUGAAACGACUUACAGAAGAUACUUGGGAGUUGACGUGUCGGCGGAUGGAUUUAUGAAGGAUGAGGUUAAUCAUAGAAUUGAUGAAGGAAAAAAGGUAAAAUUGGUGGUAGUCCAUUGUCGAUUUUUCCCUAUUGACAUUGCUAUCAUGGUGUUUGGUGCUGUAUUACCUAUGGGGCUUUUGUGAAUAUAUUUCUUAAAUAAAAAUGUAAAGAAUA
This is a non-coding RNA of Cherax quadricarinatus, 1331 nucleotides long. The record is from RefSeq and is a predicted model, not a curated record. NCBI's taxonomy places the organism in Eukaryota, Metazoa, Arthropoda, Malacostraca, Decapoda, Parastacidae.